RNAcentral lists this ribosomal RNA (253 nucleotides) under uncultured bacterium. RNAcentral describes it as "partial 16S ribosomal RNA". It matches the Rfam family "Bacterial small subunit ribosomal RNA", at positions 524 to 776 of the family's 1533-position model. The record is from RNAcentral.
UACGGAGGAUGCAAGCGUUGUCCGGAUUUAUUGGGUUUAAAGGGUGCGUAGGCGGUCUGAUAAGUCAGUGGUUAAAUAACCUUGCUUAACGAGGGAGAUGCCAUUGAUACUGUCAGACUUGAAUACUGUUUGGGUAGGCGGAAUUGGUAGUGUAGCGGUGAAAUGCUUAGAUAUUACCAGGAACACCGAUAGCGAAGGCAGCUUACUGAAGAGAUAUUGACGCUGAGGCACGAAAGUGCGGGUAUCAAACAGG